RNAcentral lists this unclassified non-coding RNA (391 nucleotides) under soil metagenome. RNAcentral describes it as "partial contains 5.8S ribosomal RNA, internal transcribed spacer 2, and large subunit ribosomal RNA". The stretch from base 1 to 122 matches the Rfam family "5.8S ribosomal RNA", at positions 35 to 154 of the family's 154-position model. The record is from RNAcentral.
GAUGAAGAACGCAGCGAAAUGCGAUACUUGGUGUGAAUUGCAGAAUCCCGUGAACCAUCGAGUCUUUGAACGCAAGUUGCGCCCGAAGCCAUUAGGCCGAGGGCACGCCUGCCUGGGCGUCACACGUCGUUGCCCCCCCAUCUACUCCUUCGGGAUUGCGGGGGGCGGAUGAUGGCCUCCCGUGCGCCUCGUCGCGCGGUUGGCAUAAAUACCAAGUCCUCGGCGACGCACGCCACGACAAUCGGUGGUUGCGAAACCUCGGUUGCCCGUCGUGUGCGGUCGUCGCGCAUCGAGGGCUCGAAAAAAUUGCCGGGCUCCGGCUCGGCUUUCAACGCGACCCCAUGUCAGGCGGGGUUACCCGCUGAAUUUAAGCAUAUCAAUAAGCGGAGGA